This 435-nucleotide ribosomal RNA is filed under the name uncultured bacterium. RNAcentral's name for it is "bacterial SSU rRNA". It matches the Rfam family "Bacterial small subunit ribosomal RNA", at positions 958 to 1392 of the family's 1533-position model. The record is from RNAcentral.
AACGCGAAGAACCUUACCAAGCCUUGACAUCCCCCUGACCGGCCAGUAACGUGGCCUUUCCUACGGGACAGGGGAGACAGGUGGUGCAUGGUUGUCGUCAGCUCGUGUCGUGAGAUGUUGGGUUAAGUCCCGCAACGAGCGCAACCCCUAUGUUCAGUAGCCAGCAGUUAAAGCUGGGCACUCUGGAGAGACUGCCAGGGACAACCUGGAGGAAGGCGGGGAUGACGUCAAAUCAUCAUGCCCCUUAUGGCUUGGGCUACACACGUGCUACAAUGGCGUAAACAAAGGGAAGCAGCCCUGUGAAGGUGAGCGAAUCCCAAAAAUAACGUCCCAGUUCGGAUUGUAGUCUGCAACCCGACUACAUGAAGCUGGAAUCGCUAGUAAUCGCGAAUCAGAAUGUCGCGGUGAAUACGUUCCCGGGUCUUGUACACACCG